AGGAUAAACGCUGGCGGCGUGCCUAACACAUGCAAGUCGAACGUCCUACGCAAGUAGGGAGUGGCGGACGAGUGAGUAACACGUGGGCAAUCUACCUUUCGGUGAGGAAUACCGGCGAGAAAUCGCCGACAAUACCGCAUACGCUUCGCAAGAAGCAAAGUCGCAAGACGCCGGAGGAGGAGCCUGCGCCCGAUUAGCUGGUUGGUGAGGUAAGAGCUCACCAAGGCGACGAUCGGUAGC
Molecule: ribosomal RNA, 240 nt
Filed under: uncultured bacterium
Lineage: Bacteria
Description: partial small subunit ribosomal RNA
Rfam family: Bacterial small subunit ribosomal RNA
Source: RNAcentral